This 167-nucleotide transfer RNA is filed under the name Candidatus Aenigmatarchaeota archaeon. RNAcentral's name for it is "tRNA-Glu". The stretch from base 107 to 167 matches the Rfam family "tRNA". The record is from RNAcentral. Lineage: Archaea; Nanobdellati; Candidatus Aenigmatarchaeota.
GCUCCCGUAGUCUAGCCCGGCAAAGGAGAAACUGCGUUUCUCCCUUUACCCUCUUCCUUUCUGAAAAAGAAGGGAAUGAGGUUACAAGGAGAGAACCGUAGGUUCUUCUCCUGUUAGGAUAUCGGCCUCUCACGCCGAAGACGCGGGUUCAAAUCCCGCCGGGAGCA